RNAcentral lists this ribosomal RNA (465 nucleotides) under Vreelandella stevensii. RNAcentral describes it as "partial 16S ribosomal RNA". It matches the Rfam family "Bacterial small subunit ribosomal RNA", at positions 338 to 795 of the family's 1533-position model. Lineage: Bacteria; Pseudomonadati; Pseudomonadota; Gammaproteobacteria; Oceanospirillales; Halomonadaceae. The record is from RNAcentral.
CCUACGGGGUGCAGCAGUGGGGAAUAUUGGACAAUGGGCGAAAGCCUGAUCCAGCCAUGCCGCGUGUGUGAAGAAGGCCUUCGGGUUGUAAAGCACUUUCAGUGGGGAAGAAAGCCUUGGGGCUAAUACCCUCGAGGAAGGACAUCACCCACAGAAGAAGCACCGGCUAACUACGUGCCAGCAGCCGCGGUAAUACGGAGGGUGCGAGCGUUAAUCGGAAUUACUGGGCGUAAAGCGCGCGUAGGCGGUCUGAUAAGCCGGUUGUGAAAGCCCCGGGCUCAACCUGGGAACGGCAUCCGGAACUGUCAGGCUAGAGUGCAGGAGAGGAAGGUAGAAUUCCCGGUGUAGCGGUGAAAUGCGUAGAGAUCGGGAGGAAUACCAGUGGCGAAGGCGGCCUUCUGGACUGACACUGACGCUGAGGUGCGAAAGCGUGGGUAGCAAACAGGAUUAGAUACCCUAGUAGUC